Molecule: ribosomal RNA, 886 nt
Filed under: uncultured Chloroflexota bacterium
Lineage: Bacteria; Bacillati; Chloroflexota
Description: bacterial SSU rRNA
Rfam family: Bacterial small subunit ribosomal RNA
Source: RNAcentral
GACGAACGCUGGCGGCGCGCCUAAUGCAUGCAAGUUGAACGGUUUUCACGGUCUUCGGGCUGUGGGGAUAGUAGCGAACGGCUGAGUAACGCGUAAGGGACCUGACCCUGGGAGGGGGAUAACCCAUCGAAAGGCGGGCUAAUACCCCGUAAGCUGGCUUGCUGACAUGGUGAGUCAGGAAAGCCUCGGUGCGAAUCGGGGUGCCCGGGGAGGGUCUUGCGUCCUAUCAGGUAGUUGGCGGGGUAACGGCCCACCAAGCCUAAGACGGGUAACCGGUGUGAGAGCAUGAACGGUCAGAGGGGGACUGAGACACGGCCCCCACUCCUACGGGAGGCAGCAGCAGGGAAUUUUGCGCAAUGGGCGAAAGCCUGACGCAGCGACGCCGCGUGGGGGAAGAAGGCCUUAGGGUUGUAAACCCCUUUUCUGGGGGAAGAGCAAGGACGGUACCCCAGGAAUAAGCCCCGGCUAACUACGUGCCAGCAGCCGCGGUAAUACGUAGGGGGCGAGCGUUGUCCGGAAUUACUGGGCGUAAAGGGCGCGUAGGCGGCCCAAGAAGUCUCCGGUGAAAUCUCCCGGCUUAACUGGGAGGGGUCCGGGGAAACUCUUGAGCUUGAGGGCAGCAGAGGAGGGUGGAAUUCCCGGUGUAGUGGUGAAAUGCGUAGAUAUCGGGAGGAACACCAGUGGCGAAGGCGGCCCUCUGGGCUAUACCUGACGCUGAGGCGCGAAAGCGUGGGGAGCAAACCGGAUUAGAUACCCGGGUAGUCCACGCCCUAAACGAUGGAUGCUGGGUAUGAGGGGUAUCGACCCCCUGUGAGCCGUAGCUAACGCGAUAAGCAUUCCGCCUGGGGACUACGGCCGCAAGACUAAAACUCAAAGGAAUUGACGC